UGACUGCCCAUGGGGGUGACAUGUGAGGGGAAAGGAGAAGAGCAGGGGGAGCCAAAGGCAGAAAUGGUCAUACAAGUACAUGGUGAGCACGUUUUGUUUCCCACUGGACAAACUUGAGGCUAGGACACAGGUGAGAGGCUUGGACACAGCGCGCAUGAAUGCCAGUUCUUUGCCAAUGUCACCUGCAUUUUCAGCUGAUCCUAGAUGGAGACAUUUUCAGUCCCUACUUGUCUCUUGAAGAUGGAAAAUCAUACAGCAGGAAUUCCAGCAGCAUGCUUCAAACAAAAUCUCUCUGCAGGAAAGAAUGGGUGAGGUUUGGUAAAAUGUGCUGCAUACACAA
This is a long non-coding RNA of Neofelis nebulosa (Clouded leopard), 340 nucleotides long. RefSeq lists it as uncharacterized. The transcript is spliced from 2 exons. Lineage: Eukaryota; Metazoa; Chordata; Mammalia; Carnivora; Felidae. The record is from RefSeq and is a predicted model, not a curated record.